GAUGAACGCUGGCGGCGUGCCUAAUACAUGCAAGUCGAGCGAACGGACGAGAAGCUUGCUUCUCUGAUGUUAGCGGCGGACGGGUGAGUAACACGUGGAUAACCUACCUAUAAGACUGGGAUAACUUCGGGAAACCGGAGCUAAUACCGGAUAAUAUUUUGAACCGCAUGGUUCAAAAGUGAAAGACGGUCUUGCUGUCACUUAUAGAUGGAUCCGCGCUGCAUUAGCUAGUUGGUAAGGUAACGGCUUACCAAGGCAACGAUGCAUAGCCGACCUGAGAGGGUGAUGGGCCACACUGGAACUGAGACACGGUCCAGACUCCUACGGGAGGCAGCAGUAGGGAAUCUUCCGCAAUGGGCGAAAGCCUGACGGAGCAACGCCGAGUGAGUGAUGAAGGUCUUCGGAUCGUAAAACUCUGUUAUUAGGGAAGAACAUAUGUGUAAGUAACUGUGCACAUCUUGACGGUACCUAAUCAGAAAGCCACGGCUAACUACGUG
This 497-nucleotide ribosomal RNA is filed under the name uncultured bacterium. Its description in RNAcentral is "partial 16S ribosomal RNA". It matches the Rfam family "Bacterial small subunit ribosomal RNA", at positions 28 to 507 of the family's 1533-position model. The record is from RNAcentral.